RNAcentral lists this ribosomal RNA (491 nucleotides) under uncultured bacterium. RNAcentral's name for it is "partial 16S ribosomal RNA". It matches the Rfam family "Bacterial small subunit ribosomal RNA", at positions 29 to 506 of the family's 1533-position model. The record is from RNAcentral.
AGUGAACGCUGGCGGUAGGCCUAACACAUGCAAGUCGAACGGCAGCACAGUAAGAGCUUGCUCUUACGGGUGGCGAGUGGCGGACGGGUGAGGAAUACAUCGGAAUCUACUUUUUCGUGGGGGAUAACGUAGGGAAACUUACGCUAAUACCGCAUACGACCUACGGGUGAAAGCAGGGGAUCUUCGGACCUUGCGCGAUUGAAUGAGCCGAUGUCGGAUUAGCUAGUUGGCGGGGUAAAGGCCCACCAAGGCGACGAUCCGUAGCUGGUCUGAGAGGAUGAUCAGCCACACUGGAACUGAGACACGGUCCAGACUCCAACGGGAGGCAGAAGUGGGGAAUAUUGGACAAUGGGCGCAAGCCUGAUCCAGCCAGACGGCGUGGGUGAAGAAGGCCUUCGGGUUGUAAAGCCCUUUUGUUGGGAAAGAAAAGCAGCAGGUUAAUACCCCGCUGUUCUGAGGGAACCAAAAGAAUAAGCACCGGUUAACUUGGU